ACUAAAUAUUAAUCUGGUGAAAGGCAUUUUUUUACAAGGGCUUCGAGUCAAACCGUAUCAAGUAGGCCUAUCCCUUUUUUUAAGUUUCGUUUUUAAAGAAAUAGAGAAGGGCGUUUACCACACCUUGGAUAAAAGUCUUCCACUAGCUCUCUCAUUUAUCAUCUGCUUCCACGAUGGGCUACGUUGGCAAUUUCUUCAUUCUUUCUUUGACAAUAUCAACCGUUGGGGGAUUAAGAUGCUUCAAGUGUAUCUCCGGAGACUACCUCUCCUGCUUUAACACCGUUGAAUGUCACUCAUCCAUGGAUCGCUGUUUCACCACUGGCCUAGGGGAUACCUUGAUCAAGGGAUGUCAAUUCAGUCCUGUCUGUGUCCUGCCAGGGACCGGUUGCUGCAAAGGCGAUUUGUGUAACUUUUGAAAUUCCAGCAAUAGCAUUGGAUCAAGCUUCAUCCUUCUGCUGUUGUCUACCGCUGCACUGUAUUUCCUCUGAUCAGUGGGUCUGCAUGCACUCUAGAAACCUGGGGCCAAUUCACUAAUGAAUCUCCAGAUAAUGACAUUCUGUUCAUUAUCUGGAGACUAUGUUUGCAUCUAGAUUACAUUUAGGGCCUUAAGCAGAUGCUUUUAUCCAGAACGACUUACAAUUAUUACAUUUGUCGGACGAAAAAGAAGCAACAAUGUAACGCUGUUGGUAGGCCUACAGUGAGGAUGUUUCUGUGUUUAUACUUUUCUGAUGAAGAAUUUCUACGAAGUUCCUAAUAUACCUAUUGUUUUACGGAUACUACCAGUGAUUGUUCCAUUUAACCAUUGUCACAUCAUAAAUACCAAUUGAUAAACAAUAAGGCAUAUACGUGUAGCACAGUUGAAAGGAAUGACCCUAGAAUACGUGAUGCAGUUUCUGUUUUGGACAAGGCAAUUGAAUAGUGGUUGCAAAACAAACAAAAAGUACGAGAAAAUAAAUAUCAAUUUGCAG
Gadus morhua (Atlantic cod) is the source of this 968-nucleotide long non-coding RNA. RefSeq lists it as uncharacterized. The transcript is spliced from 3 exons. Lineage: Eukaryota; Metazoa; Chordata; Actinopteri; Gadiformes; Gadidae. The record is from RefSeq and is a predicted model, not a curated record.